CUUGCGAGGUAUUGAUGCCUGCUGGAAAUUGAACAUGUUCCAUUGUAUGAUGGCAGUUCCACAAAAAGCUGAUGGCUAACCACUGUUGUCUCUUCUUAAUGUAUGUAUCAGAGAAGCCAUGCCAGGAUCAGUAUUAUGCAGAGAUCACCAUGAACUUCUAACCAGACAUAAUAUUCCAGUGAAGAAAGACAACUUUCUUAAACAUGUUGGCUGUACAGCUACAGAUACCAACAAGGCAGUUGAGGAAAAGGUAUUGCACUUUGCAAAUGAUCUUUUAUCAAAAGAUCCCACAGCUAAUGUAGGCUUAGCGGUUGUAGAGUAUCAAGGUGUUCCUUGACAAAGCCAGAGAUGUACUGUCUAACAACUUCGCUCCAGCAUUGCUAGCAUGGACCUCAAUGCUAAUGAUGUUUAGGUACUCUUGGACAAUGAAACAUAUCCGUCACUUCAAUCUACCAAUGUUGUUUGGGGUUCCCAGUGUUGGGAAAACGCUAGUGGCUACAUGUGGCGCUUGGCUAACUGGAUGCCAGGAGACACAAAUGUCUUCAAGGUAACUGGGCUAAUAUUUUGCAGAAGUUUAUAUUUCAUCAAUGUAUUGUCAGCUGCAUUUGUGCUAUAUGAACAACCACAGCUGCAAACCCAGGAUUAUAUAUAUAUGAUGAUAUUAAUCAUAUAAAAUAUAAUGAUAUUUAUCACAUUGUUGACGUCGCUGAGUGUAAUAAAACCAUUACUUAAAAUAAAUGAGUAUCAUUUAGGUAAAGUCAUUUUUUUAAAGGUAAGAUAAUUAGAUAUGUAACAUACCUUAAAAUACAUGUACUGUUGAAAAACAGCCUUAAAUACAAAACAAACAGACACUCAUGAAGGUACAUAGGGUGUUCACUCAGUGUAAUAUAUGUUGCACUAAUACAAACAAAUUUAUAUAUAUUAUUACGUUUUAUUAGUACUUGCAUCAGGUAAUAUGCAGAUAACAUGUCCUAAUGAACUUUUGUCUGUAAAGAGAAAUUAUUUUAUCCUGCCAAGAUGGUUACAACUUUUUUUAACAAUAGUCAUUUUUAAUCCUUUUGAAAUUUUCCUUCAGUAAUCACACAGUCUCCGUAACACAAAUAUCAAAACAUUCUUUUGAUAAAUGCGUGUGUAUAAAGUUAUACAAGUCAAGCUUAUAUUUUGUCAAAAGAUGUGACAGUCCCAUUUUAACACAAAUUGUUUUGAUUGGAUGUAGUCGGGCUUCUAAGAACUACAUACAUGUAAAUGAAUACUUUCGAACUUAACACACAUAGACAUCAUAAAAUAACCAUUCGUAACAAGGUAUCAUAUCUCUGACUUUUUCUGUUGUCAACUUUUGCAAAGCUUUUAUGUGUAUUAGACAAUUGUGUGAAAGUUGUUAGCAGACUGCAGCCCAUGAUUUACUAUAACAUUAUUUACUAACUUCAAAUACAUAGAAAAUAAUUGAUUUGCUCCAGAUGCACAUUACCCUUCUUCAUACAGAGGCUUAUAUCAGCAUCCAUGCCUUCAUCUGGGACGACCCUACCAAUCAAGAAGAAGUCGGACAACUGGCUGUUGAUCUUGGCAAUGGUGCAGUGAGAGGGAAACUGACUGAAAUGAAGUGCAAAACUGCACAUAUUAUGACUUAAACAUGGUAUACUCUGAUACUAUGAAGGCAUAACCUCCUGACUUGUAUAUUGUAUUAAUUGUUUAUAUGUAAAAGUCACACAUAUUGAAAUAAUGUUUUAGGCCUUAAUUGAAUAAGUAGUAAAAACUGACUGAUGCUCAGAAUAUUUCUUUCAUCUUAGUUUUAAGAACACAUUUUUAUAAACUAUUAACAAUUAUUAUGUUGGUAAGUAAAUGCUCAUAUGUCUGCCUGACUGCGCCAAAAAACUUAAUUACUGUACUGUUUGAUUUAAGUACAUUAAAAGAUUUAAUACAGGACUGGUGCUUUUUGGACAUAAAAAAGCGUUUGUAAUAUUUUCACUUGUUAGACAUAUUCAUGAUCACAAUUGUUGUUAUUUGGUACAAUAUAUUAAGUAUGUCUUAUACAGGUAUAGCAGCAGGCUCUGCAUCUUGAAGAUGAACCCAAAAGUUAGCCCUAAACAACCAGGGGUAGCCGGUGAAUUAGAGGCCCUAGCAGUGUCUGCGUCAGCUGCGUUGCCCAUUUUAUUACAGACUGUGUACACAAUGACACUAGGGGAGAUACACGCAACCACACGAACAUUAAUGGACACCGUGCCAUGUGACCUCCGUGUGGUGGAAGGUCUGUCAGUGCCACUGACAGCCGCGAAGAAGAUACUUGAGAGAGCAGGAAGAUCUGAAUUACUUCGGAUGUACAAGUGUACCUGGAGCAAGUUCUGUUCCCGUACAUCAGUGAUACCAUGCCUGGUAGUGACAGUGUGCCCAACUUUAUUAUAGAGAAGAUGUUAAACUAUGAGGACCAGAUCUUCCAGAACACUGACUUGAAAGGCGAUGAGAUCAGGGUCAUCAGGUAAUUCCUCGUGGAAGUCUGUGGAGUGUGCCAGGCUGAGAAAAGAAAGAUUUGAACAACCUUCUAAAGUCGUCAGAGUGAAGGGAUCUUUAGUUAGAGCCACUGUACUUGAUAUCAGUAGCUUGAGAGAGGACCUCAAAAACACAAUUACAACUUAUAUGUUAAACAUGUUAAAAGAAAAUUUAAAAUGAUUUAAUUAGUGUAUUUAAGAUAGAUAAGCACAGUGACCUAUCAAUCGGAUUAAGUAAACAUUUCUGCUGAGGAUAUACACCUGUAAUUUCAGAGAAAAAUGUUGAGAAUCCAGGAACACUGAAUAUCAUUUGCAUUUGUUGAUAUACAUAUAUAAUAACAAAUGCAUAUGAAAAAGGCUUGCAAAUUGAUACCUUAUAGAUUUGAAUGCCUGUUGUUUCUGUCUAUGUACAUGUAUUCAGACCCCAGAGUUACAAAUUCAGAGAAGGGUAUUUAGACGGCGUAUGCCAACUUCACGAUCUAACCUUAGACAGACACGCAGCAGAAGCAGGAGAAAUUAGUGUGCGUUUUAUGUUACAACAAAAAUUAAGACAAAUAUAAGAUAUGAUUCGAUGAAAUGAUUGACAAUAGUAAUCUGGCCAGCGGAAUAACAGUGUGAGAAAAACCAAAAUGACUAGGAAAAUUUUGACUUAAAAGUUUACUUGCUGUUGUUGUAGAACUUAUAAAUUUAUCAUAAUACAGAACAGAGUGAAAAAAUAACAUAUCUGCAUUUGUAUCUGACAUGGACUCAUGGGUAAUUCUUAUCAGUACUGUGCCGUUUCCUUGUUUCUUCAUUUUUUAGCUCCACUACUUGGAGAAUAGGGGUGCCCAGCAGUGAUGUUGAAGUGAGCUGUCUGGGUUAAUGUUUUUUGGCAACCUUUGUUUUGCUAAGUUACAAUUGCUUAUAUCUUACAGAGUUUUCAUGUUAACAUUGUUCAGCAUGUGAAAAAAUGUGCAGGGGCUGGACCCCAUUACCUCUUAGGUCAAGGUAACCAAGGUGUUAUAUUUUGGUUUUUUUUAAGAUUACCUUUGUUUUUCUGUUUUAUCUUUUUUACUAUUGCCUAAAUCUUACUGUAACUUCACAUAAAAAUUGUAAAGCAUACAAAGAAAGUAUGUGCUUGUCAAGAUUACUAAGGUGUUAUACUUUGGUCAUUUUUAACGUUUUUGGCAAUGUUUAUCUGUCUUAUCUUUGUUACUAUUGCUUAUAUCUUUCUGUCAUUUCACAUAAACAUUGUCCAGCAUACACAGUAUGUGCAGUAGCUAUGCCAUUAUACCCGAGGUAAAGGUCACCAAGUUGUUUGGAAUUAUUUUCAUUUUGAAUUUUUUUCAAAAGCUAUGUUUCUAGACAAAGUUGGUACUUUAAAAGAUUAUGACUUGAAAUUGGAAAUAUUUCUUUAAAAUCAUCAUUUGCAUUAUUCCCCUUUCAUAUUUUUUUUUUUGGUAAUCUUUGCCUUCUGAAAAUAACUUGAGUAUGGUAUCAGAUAAUGACUUGAGACUUAAAAUAUGCUUCUAUCAUUAUCUUCUGCAAUUGCAAUUACUCUGAAUUUGUAAGUUUGACCAAAUUAUGUCCCUUUCAUACUUAAUUGUUUUGACAAGCUUCGUUUUUUUUCUGGACAUAACUUUGGUACUAUACAAGAUAAUGACUUCAAAAUACAUCUUUGUUAUCAUCAACAGACUUUGUGUUUUGCACCUAACUUUGGUAUAGGUCUCUUAUUGAGACAGACUCAUUUAUUGUCGAAUUAACAAAUAGUGGAGUGUACUGUAUUACGCACAGCUUUUGUUCAAAUUAGUUAAUUAUAAAAAAUUCUUAUCAAUUUAUAUUUAACCCGCCCACUUAUCUCAGUAGGUAGAGCGUCGGUCUACGGAUCGCGGGGUCGUGAGUUCGAUCCCUGGGCGGGCCGUAUGUUCUCCGUGACUAUUUGAUAAACGACAUUGUGUCUGCAAUAAUUAGUCCUCCACCUCUGAUAAUUCAUGUGGGGCAGUUGGCAGUUACUUGCGGAGAACAGGUUAGUACUGGUACAGAAUCCAGGAACACUGGUUAGGUUAAUUGCCCGCCGUUACAUGACUGAAAUACUGUUGAACAACGGCGUUAAACCCAGCAAAAAAAAAAAAAAAAAAAAAACAUUUUAUAUUUGUUACUGUAAUUUUAAGUAUUUCUAUAUUUUUUGUUUCAUAUAAGUUAAUUGAACAAUUUGACAUAUUUAUUGCUGUUUAAGAUUGUUAGAGUACUUUUUUGAAAAGAGCCCAUUUUUUUUUUUAAAUUGGCAAAAUAACAGUCUCUCACUAGGUUCACCAAAGUUAAGGUUCUGUAAAUAAAAAUGUAUAAAAAUGUCCACUGUUGUUUCGAAGAACCCUGAAUUUGAACCACACACGGUCUUCUAUGCACACAAGCUUCCCCAUUUGUUUUUACCUGCAAUAGAUUUAUCUUGUUUCCGGAUAUGUAAUAUUUGUUUAAGUUUUAUCUUUGCUGUAAUUUUUUGAUGUUCAUAUGCUAAUAUAAUAGA
Molecule: long non-coding RNA, 4986 nt
Organism: Mercenaria mercenaria
Lineage: Eukaryota; Metazoa; Mollusca; Bivalvia; Venerida; Veneridae
Exons: 5
Source: RefSeq, a predicted model, not a curated record